GACGAUCAGUAGCCGACCUGAGAGGGUGAUCGGCCACAUUGGAACGGAGACACGGUCCAAACUCCUACGGGAGGCAGCAGUGGGGAAUAUUGCACAAUGGGCGAAAGCCUGAUGCAGCAACGCCGCGGGAGUGAUGAAGGCCUUCGGGUCGUAAAACUCUGGCCUCAAGGAAGAUAAUGACGGUACUUGAGGAGGAAGCCCCGGCUAACUACGUGCCAGCAGCCGCGGUAAUACGUAGGGGGCUAGCGUUAUCCGGAUUUACUGGGCGUAAAGGGUGCGUAGGCGGUCUUUCAAGUCAGGAGUGAAAGGCUACGGCUCAACCGUAGUAAGCUCUUGAAACUGGGAGACUUGAGUGCAGGAGAGGAGAGUGGAAUUCCUAGUGUAGCGGUGAAAUGCGUAGAUAUUAGGAGGAACACCAGUUGCGAAGGCGGCUCUCUGGACUGUAACUGACGCUGAGGCACGAAAGCGUGGGGAGCAAACAGGAUUAGAUACCCUG
Molecule: ribosomal RNA, 496 nt
Filed under: Clostridioides difficile
Lineage: Bacteria; Bacillati; Bacillota; Clostridia; Peptostreptococcales; Peptostreptococcaceae
Description: bacterial SSU rRNA
Rfam family: Bacterial small subunit ribosomal RNA
Source: RNAcentral